RNAcentral lists this long non-coding RNA (1252 nucleotides) under Equus caballus (horse). RNAcentral's name for it is "lncRNA (ENSECAG00000052599.1)". The record is from RNAcentral. Lineage: Eukaryota; Metazoa; Chordata; Mammalia; Perissodactyla; Equidae.
CGGCCCGGGGUGGACAGAGAGGAGCGGUGGAAAGGGGCAAUUCAGGCCAGGGAGGGAGCCAGCCAGUCGGACUUUACCCCCCAGCAAAACUAUCAGUCCCCAGGUCCUGGCACUGGGAGAGGAUGAGAGCUCUGGGGAAGGCACUGCAGGCAGAGGGGUUGAAGGGAGGAAAGCUUGGCAAAGGUUCCAUGACCAAGCCUUAAUUUGGCUAAAGGCGUUGUUCCCAGCACACCCCCUGCCCUGUGCAUGUGCAUGCACACACACAUACACACACACACACCGCACAAGCAUAUCUUCUCUUUCCCAUAGCUUUGUCCCCCUGCAGCAUUCCUGUGCCACCUCCAACCCUCCCAGCAGAAUGUCACACCUGUCCACCUUCAGCAGUCCACCUGACCCCUCUCCCUUCUGCCGCCCACUGUCUCCUGUGACUUAGGACAGCGGCUUCUCCUCUCCAGGCCUCAGUUUCUCUUUAGGCAGCAAGUUACAGAUCUGGCUCUCAGGGCCCUCUUGGCAAUCUAGGACAGCGCAUGGAGAGAAGCUCCUGGGAGCAGAGAUUUACUCUGGAACUGACCUUUUCACUGAAGUCCUGGAACUAGGUGAGAUGAUUCAGCAAGCCUAAGACUCCUCGUUCAGAUCUCAGAUCCUCCAGUUUUGGUCCCUAGCGAGGAGCUCCUUUCAAUUUUGUGGAUUGACAAGAUACAAUGGAAAAAGCACUCGAGCUUUGCCGUGAACAGGAGACUGGUUCUAAGGAGAACACUGAAUGAGUCACUUUUUCUUUUUGCACCACGGAGGAAAAGUAACUACCUGUUUGAAUGUCUUCGUUCAAGCCUAGCUGUUCCCAUAUCUGUAAUGUGGAGAUGAUGACGGAGACGCUGCCGGCCCAUCAGUGUCGUGUGGGCAGUCCCUGAAGUGAGGAACCGGGAGAACCCGCUCCUUACUGGACAUUCCUUUUAUGAGCACUGCGACUUCAUCUCUCAGACGCUGGAUGCUACUGGCAGGAAACAAGCCAAAAGAAGGAAUUCUUGUUCUCCUUCAGGGAAACGCUUUCACGGUGGCGACUCUUUCUACAUGUAAAUUAAUGGAACUUUUGCUACAGUUUCUUUCUCUCUUUCUUUCUUUUUCGUACUAACAACUUAAAACUAAAAUGAACUGAGUUGUGUGAAUGGUCUGAAGGGUCAAUUCUUCGCAUAGGUGCCCAUUUGGGAGCAAUGUGCAGUGUGUUUUAAAAUUGUUUUCAAUAAUUUGUUUUGGU